UACGUAGGGGGCAAGCGUUGUCCGGAUUUACUGGGCGUAAAGAGCGCGUAGGCGGCCAAGCAGGUCCGUUGUGAAAACUGGAGGCUUAACCUCCAGACGUCGACGGAAACCGCGUGGCUAGAGUCCGGAAGAGGAGAGUGGAAUUCCUGGUGUAGCGGUGAAAUGCGCAGAUAUCAGGAAGAACACCAAUGGCGAAGGCAGCUCUCUGGGACGGUACUGACGCUGAGACGCGAAAGCGUGGGGAGCGAGCAGG
RNAcentral lists this ribosomal RNA (253 nucleotides) under uncultured bacterium. RNAcentral describes it as "partial 16S ribosomal RNA". It matches the Rfam family "Bacterial small subunit ribosomal RNA", at positions 524 to 776 of the family's 1533-position model. The record is from RNAcentral.